This 65-nucleotide transfer RNA is filed under the name Ichneumonidae sp. MT-2014. RNAcentral's name for it is "tRNA-Tyr". The record is from RNAcentral. Lineage: Eukaryota; Metazoa; Arthropoda; Insecta; Hymenoptera; Ichneumonidae.
AGCAAUGUGUCUGAUUUAAGUAAUAAAUUGUAAAUUUAUUUAAAAGAUAAUAUUCUUCAUUGCUA